Molecule: ribosomal RNA, 456 nt
Filed under: uncultured bacterium
Lineage: Bacteria
Description: SSU rRNA
Rfam family: Bacterial small subunit ribosomal RNA
Source: RNAcentral
AGAACGAACGCUGGCGGCAGGCCUAACACAUGCAAGUCGAACGCCGUAGCAAUACGGAGUGGCAGACGGGUGAGUAACGCGUGGGAACAUACCCUUCGGUUCGGAAUAACUCAGGGAAACUUGAGCUAAUACCGGAUACGUCCGAGGUUUUAAUCGACCUUGGAGAAAGAUUUAUCGCCGGAGGAUUGGCCCGCGUCUGAUUAGCUUGUUGGUGAGGUAAUGGCUCACCAAGGCGACGAUCAGUAGCUGGUCUGAGAGGAUGAUCAGCCACAUUGGGACUGAGACACGGCCCAAACUCCUACGGGAGGCAGCAGUGGGGAAUAUUGGACAAUGGGCGAAAGCCUGAUCCAGCCAUGCCGCGUGAGUGAUGAAGGCCUUAGGGUUGUAAGCUCUUUUACCCGGGAGAUAAUGACGGUACCGGAGAAUAAGCCCGGCUAACUUCGUGCCAGCAGCCGC